RNAcentral lists this ribosomal RNA (256 nucleotides) under uncultured bacterium. RNAcentral describes it as "partial 16S ribosomal RNA". It matches the Rfam family "Bacterial small subunit ribosomal RNA", at positions 793 to 1055 of the family's 1533-position model. The record is from RNAcentral.
GUCCACGCUGUAAACGAUGAUUACUUGCUAUUGGGUGUAAGCUCAGUGGCUAAGCGAAAGUGAUAAGUAAUCCACCUGGGGAGUACGAACGCAAGUUUGAAACUCAAAGGAAUUGACGGGGGCCCCGCACAAGCGGUGGAGCAUGUGGUUUAAUUCGAUGAUACGCGAGGAACCUUACCAAGGCUUAAAUGGGAAAUGACAGGUUUAGAGAUAGACUUUUCUUCGGACAUUUUUCAAGGUGCUGCAUGGUUGUCGU